This 406-nucleotide ribosomal RNA is filed under the name uncultured bacterium. RNAcentral's name for it is "partial 16S ribosomal RNA". It matches the Rfam family "Bacterial small subunit ribosomal RNA", at positions 30 to 526 of the family's 1533-position model. The record is from RNAcentral.
AUUGAACGCUGGCGGCAGGCCUAACACAUGCAAGUCGAACGAGUGGCGGACGGGUGAGUCAUGUCUGGGAAACUGCCCGAUGGAGGGGGAUAACUACUGGAAACGGUAGCUAAUACCGCAUACCAUCGGAUGUGCCCAGCUGGGGUGAGCUAGUAGGUGGGGUAAAGGCUCACCUAGGCGAAGAUCCCUAGCUGGUCUGAGAGGAGGACCAGCCACACUGGAACUGAGACACGGUGCAGACGCCUACGGGAGGAAGCGUUGGUGAAUAUUGCACAAUGGGCGCAAGUCUGAUGCAGCCAUGCCGCGUGUAUGAAGAAGGCCUUCGGGUUGUAAAGUACGUUCAGCGAGGAGGCGUUACUCGCAGAAGAAGCAGCGGCUAACUCCGUGCCAGCAGCCGCGGUAAUAC